Molecule: ribosomal RNA, 400 nt
Filed under: phytoplankton environmental sample
Lineage: Eukaryota
Description: partial small subunit ribosomal RNA
Rfam family: Eukaryotic small subunit ribosomal RNA
Source: RNAcentral
AGCUCCAAUAGCGUAUAUUAAAGUUGUUGCAGUUAAAAAGCUCGUAGUUGGAUUUCUGGUGGGAGCAGUCGGUCCUUGAUUAAUUUCUUGGAACCUGAUUGUCUCCUGCCAUCCAUGGAGAAAACUAGUCUGGCAUUAAGUUGUCGGGUUGGCAAUCUCCAUCUUUUACUGUGAAAAAAUUAGAGUGUUCAAAGCAGGCUUAUGCCGUUGAAUAUAUUAGCAUGGAAUAAUAAGAUAGGACUAUGGUACUAUUUUGUUGGUUUGUGCACCAUGGUAAUGAUUAAUAGGGACAGUUGGGGGUAUUCGUAUUCCAUUGUCAGAGGUGAAAUUCUUGGAUUUAUGGAAGACGAACUACUGCGAAAGCAUUUACCAAGGAUGUUUUCAUUAAUCAAGAACGAAA